Molecule: long non-coding RNA, 1281 nt
Filed under: Homo sapiens (human)
Lineage: Eukaryota; Metazoa; Chordata; Mammalia; Primates; Hominidae
Description: ROR1 antisense RNA 1
Source: RNAcentral
AUGCAGGCCAAUUCACCUAGAAAGGCCUAUUUUCAAAAGCUCAUGUCCUCUGAAUUGAGGAACCACAGAUCAGAUCAGCCUCUUCAACCCCCCGCGAGGCUCCCAUUCAUGUAAGACACCCAUGGCUUUGUAAUGGCACCCAACGCUCUGGGCUGGCAUGAAAAUUGUGUGACUCACAUCAUGUGCCUCCCCAAGAAGGUGAGGCUGUUGCUGCAAAGCUGACUAGUUUGUGGAAUAGUUUCUUAGCAGGCAUUUUGGAGGAAAAGAUUUGGAUCAGAAAUUCAGAAAUUACCUGGGCUCACAAAUAUAUGCCCCUCCAGCACCAUCCUGCAUUCUGCUUCCAAGAUACAUGAGCUUUCUGAAGAGCUGGUGAGAAUGCUGAAACUUCCUGGCCUUGGUUUCCCAUCUGGUAAAAUGAGGAAGACCAAAGCUUAACUCUCACAAGGAAUAUGCAGCAGGGAGAAGUCUAAGAGACAAAAUCAAUAAGGCUAGAGAAGAUUGGCUUUCUCUGGAUACUGUACCUUAUCCAUGUGAACAGGAGAUUUUAUAGUGACUUGUUUCAGUAUAAACAAAGAGGACUGGAAUAACUGAUUGCUGAGGACUCCAAUCAUGGCAGCACUGUAUGAUAUGAAUGUAAAAUAAGCAUGACUGACUGCAACAAGAAGGCAGCCUGAAUCUACCUGAAGAAUCCUCAGGCCAUCCGAUUUGAUGAUAUAGUCAGUAGGAUUGUUUGGUUUGCUAGUAACAUAAAUUCAAAGCUUCAGGAAGGAGACUGGGCACAGCGGCUCAUGCCUGUAAUCCCAGCACUUUGGGAGGCCAAGGCGAGUGGAUCAUUUGAGGCCAGCAGUUCUAGACCAGCCUGGCCAAUAUGGUGAAACGCCGUCUCUACUAAAAAUACAAAAAUCAGCUGGGCAUGGUGGCACAUGCUUAUAAUCCCAUCUACUCAGGAGGCUGAGGCAUAAGAAUCGCUUGAACCCAAGAGGUGGAGGUUGCAGUGAGCCAAGAUUGUGCCACUAUACUCCAGCCUGGGUGACAGAGCAAGACUCUGUCUCAAACAAAACAAAACAAAACAAAACAAAACAAAACAAAAACAACAAAACACACACACACAAACACCAAAGCUUCAGGAAAAAAAAGGCAGACUAAAUUAUAUGGUAAGUAGGCUGUUUCAUUGAACUGAAAUGCAAAAGUAAACCGGAGAUGUAAGUUGUCACAAGAUCUCUCUUCUUGGUUCUCUUUCCACUGCUCAAUCCAUACAGUGAGUAAAAUUUUACGUCUUAA